Molecule: ribosomal RNA, 975 nt
Filed under: Triticum aestivum (bread wheat)
Lineage: Eukaryota; Viridiplantae; Streptophyta; Magnoliopsida; Poales; Poaceae
Description: partial small subunit ribosomal RNA
Source: RNAcentral
AUGGUCGCCGCACCGGCGAGCCCGGGAGGUCCGCCCCUCUCUCCGUGCGCCGGCUUCGUCGCGGACUCCCUGAUCCUCCCCACCCGGAACGCGAGGCUGUUCGCGCCGGUCUUCUCGCUCGUCCUCGCCCACACCUUCGUCUUCCUCGCCGUCGCCGUCCACUUCGCCCACGAGUACGCCCUGUCGGGCCCCACGAUCUGGCUGCACCCAGCGGCGCUGCUCGUCCUCCACCUCGCCUACCUCGCCAGCAAGUUCGGGACGCAGGCCGCCGUCGCGCUCGCCGCCUGCGCCACGCUCCGCGGCGACCGGCCGCGCUCGCUCGCCGAGCUCGUGCGCGGCACCCCCCGGCCACGCGGCAUCUUCGCCUGCGCCGCGCUGGUCACCGCCGCGGAGCUCGCGUCCACGGCCGUCCCGGCGUAUUACCUCCACUCCUGGUACAGGUACAGCUGGAGCCACUCGGACACCGGCGGCGUGGAGUCGUUCGUGCAGGGCGUCCUGCUGUUCGUCUUCCUCGCCACGCUCCUCCUCCGCCUCUGCCUCGCCGCGGUCUUCCCGGUCGCCAUCGCCGCGUCGGCGACGGCGGCGACAGAGGAAGGCGGGGACGUCGGUGGCGGCGCGGCCGCUCAUCUCCAGCGCGCGUGGCGGCUCAUGACCGCGGCCGCGAGCUGGAAGGAGGCCGCCCUGCAGGUGCUAGUGGUGAGCGUCGUGCUGCCCCUGGCCACCCACCCGGUGUACGCGUUUGCACUGAACUGCGGGCAGGGCGGGUGCGUGCUUUUGCUCGGCAGCCUGUUCGGGUUCCUUCUGCCGUCCGCCGGCGUGCAGCUCUACUCCGCGGUGGCCGCCACCGUGUUCUACCACCGGGGCAUGGAGCAGCAGCGUCGUCGUGAUCUUGCCAUUCCACUGAUGAUGAAGGACAUGAAGCUAGGAGGUACCCCGCUAAAUUCUCUGAAAUUGAUUAAGGGUGCGAUCGCCUGA